UCUUCAUUCUUCACACUAUCUCACCGGUCUGAGGGGCGAGAGAGUGUGAAAAAUGAAGAAA
Pristionchus pacificus is the source of this 61-nucleotide non-coding RNA. Lineage: Eukaryota; Metazoa; Nematoda; Chromadorea; Rhabditida; Neodiplogasteridae. The record is from Rfam.